Molecule: long non-coding RNA, 3040 nt
Organism: Galleria mellonella (greater wax moth)
Lineage: Eukaryota; Metazoa; Arthropoda; Insecta; Lepidoptera; Pyralidae
Exons: 3
Source: RefSeq, a predicted model, not a curated record
ACACCCGGAUACCCGCAUUGACGAAACUUCUUUUUAUAGUAAAACAUCGCAUGUUUAUGUUAUGCGGGAGAGUUCCUUUGAAGGUUGUACUCGUUCGUCAACACUGGUGCUCCAAUUAGUGGCGUUAAGCAAAAUUAUGUUAGGCUACGAUAGUUUGUUACGACACUACCAAGCAUUCUACUUGUAUUGUUAUUGUUCUGAGACAGCACCCAGCAAACCUCGUAUUAUUACUUGCUUACCAUAAAACUAAAAGCAAAGCAUUUAUUUUUAUAAACGAGUAAACGAAACUGUCGUUUCGGCUAGCGCUCGCGUGUAGGAAUAAUGUGGGGGUAUUGUGUAAAGUUUUUAUUGAAAUUUAUAAUGAAGCCUUAAAGGUUUAUUAUUUUUUGAAUUGAACUUGGUUUUUAGAAUUAACGAAAGGAAUCACGAUUUAAACAAAUGGAAUAAUAAAUAAAUGGAAAACAUAUUAAAAGGGAGCUAACGCAUAGGUACCUUUUUGACGAAAUUUCAAAUGUUAAAAAAUUUAACAGAGGCAAUAAAUAAUAAUGAUUCUGAGAUCCUAAAUAUAUGUGAUGACCGCCUCACCUGUCCCUAGCACGCGGUAGGGACAGGUGAGACGGGCGCGGCCGUCGUCACUCACCUUCAUGCCGUCGAGUCCGGGCGGGCCCUGCGGAACAACCACACAUGUCAACCACUGCGCUGCCGAACAACUUAUCGCGACUCAUAUAUGCAAACAUGCACCGCAUACGUGCCAAUUGGAAACAUCAUCACGUCCAGCAGGGAAGGAUAUAGUUGCCUUUACACAAUUGAAGGUUGAAUGAGUAACAGGUACAUACGGUUUCGUGUCAUCGUCGUCAUGCAAGUGAUGCAGCGCCAUGAAAAGUUCCAGUCGCAGAGAGUGACUUCGGCGAGAACGAGCGGCGAAAAGGUCAGAACGAAGGGUUGAGUUCAAAGAGAAAGACUAAUAUGCACAGCAUGCAAAUAUUUAUUUUCAUUCAAAAUAAUUUGUAAACAACAAUAAUUUAUGCUCUCCUGACGUAUAUUAUUAUGGUACAAAUGACAACUUUCGAUUUUCAUAAAAAAAAUAAAUCCUUAACAGCAUAUUGAUUAGCAGCGAGACGUGACAUUACGGUUCGGUUUUUAUACUUAUUGUUUGGCCUUCGGGUUGAGCGGUAAGUAGGGUGGCGUAAGUAUAUAGGGAAAAAUAAAAUCAUAGAUAAAUGAUAUUAUGAACGAGUGGCCGCGUGGGAGCCGUGCUGCCGCGCUAUUUGCCGCUCAAAAUGGCGGCCGAACGCUUACGUUGCUCGCAUGUGGAGUGCGUUCAUAAAAAUAACGAAUUUUACUGUUAUGACGUGAUCAUAAUAAGUAUACAUCGUUCGAAGUCAGCUUUACAAACAAAAAUACUACAAUGUUCGCAUCAUUUUUUUAUUGGAAACUCAUGCAGUGGCGGACUAACGAGGAACGGAGGAGGCGGACCUCCUCGGAUUUCUGGUUCUAGGGGGUCUCCAAACGCCACCAUUUUCCUCAUCCAUAUCCAUAUUCUUUGCAUGUUUAUUUCAGUCUAAUUUUUAUUUCACUUGCAAGAUUUUAACUAAAUAAAUAUUAACAUUUAUACAUACAAAGCUAAACUGAAUAAAAAGCUUGUAAAAUUACUUGAAUUUCUUGUACUAAGGGUCUCAUUCGGAUUUGCCGCCUCUGAAUUCUAGACGUGUUUCGUCCGCCACUGAUGUCACAGUUUUAUCGUUGUUUAAAAGACAAAUGUAUCUUAUUUCGAAUUACUUAAAAUUAAAUAAAUUAAUUUCAAUUUGCUUCGCAUUUUAUAUUUUAAAACGUAUAUUUAAUAAGUUUGUUAAAAAUUUGUUGUUUGAUCCAAUAUUUUACUAGCAAUAGCUACUAGUUUAGUAUAAUUAUGGUCAAUGAACAAUGAAACAACGUUGUUCAGAACUUGUGUACACGGAUACAUUACUAAGCUUCGGUCUUGAUGCACUCGUGUAUUGCCUGUCAUGUGUUAUCAUCAUCAUCAUAUCAUAAUAUAUUGGUAUUUCGUUCUCUUUCCUAUAUGCCUGUAUUUCUUUAUCUCUAAGCAGUCUCCUUUAAAACGCCUGUUAAGCAUUAGUAAGUUUCCGUGUACAUUACAAAAUUAUAGAACUGUUUUAAAUGUAUUGUUAUAUUACAAACAAUGUUCAGUAAAAUGAUGCGAAAUAGUUAAAUCUUAUUUUUGUUAUGAUUAAUGUUGACAAUCACGACAUGAUUUAUUGAAUAUGAUGAUAAACAAAUGAAAUGGCCGUCUCAAGUUAACAAAAACAGUCGUUUCAUGUAGUAAAGUCGUGUAUUACUAAUGCCUGUAUGUUGUAUACUUUGAGUUAGUGGACAUACUACUUCAGAAGGACAAGUGAGAAUGUUGUAUUAGAACUGAGAAUAACAAUGGCAUGUCUCUUAAUUACAAAAAGAGGUCCCUCUUCACCGAUGCAGCUAGCGCGAUAUGUCUUCAGCGGUGAAGAGUUCGCGGUCUGUCCUAGCCUAAAAAUCGUCAAUAAUCUUUUGUACAUUUGUAAAGAGAUUCAUCUCCGCGAGCGCUCCGAGACAUCGGCGCUACGUCGAUUGCUAUUUGUAAAAAAUAGGUACAAUUUAGUCGUAAUAUUUAUAUUUAAGUGAUUAUUAUAAAUUGUGAGAAAAACUGAAAAAUAAUGACAGUGGAGUUACAUAUUACAUUUAUUCUAUAAUUUUCACUUUGUAAGUUAAAAUUUUAAAAGAGCGUAGGCUGUACAAGCGACGAGAAGAGUCGGAGCAACGAUGUCUCGUCGCGUUUCGAGCUUUCGAUAAUACGUAUGAUUAUUUUACAGUGUCGAGUCGACAGAUAAUUAUUAUAAUACAUCAAGAGAAUGAUCAAUAAGUAGUAAUCGAUGAUAAAAGGUCAAUACGCACGAGUCAACAUUAAUGUAGGUACAGUACAGGUAUAGGUAAUAUCUUUAAUACAUGAGGCGGGCGCGGUGCGGUGCGGCGGGGCACGCGUGGCACGCGUGGCGCCCCCUCGGGACGG